UUGGAACCAGUCCAGUAUGGACUGAAACCUCCACAAACUGCUUUCCACAUAGACUGGUCAGCCCUGAAGUUCAGACUAUUCAGCCUUCCGGUGUAGACACUUCAGCCUCCUGAUGUAGAUGUCAAGGGUCUUCUGCAGUGAGCUCCAUGUCUUUCAACUUUGACUGGAUUGUUGGGCUCUCCAGUGUGUAGAUGGCCCUUCUGUACCGUCCUGCACCUUACACUUUGGGGACCAUGCAUUAAUGACAAAUGCCGAUUGAAACCUGCUAGUGGAGCUUAUCUUCACUGAAAUUUGCAUUUACAUGAUGUCCUAACCAAAAGUAACAGCUUCUUAAUCUUAGGACAGCUAUGCAGACUUCCAGCAGCAGAA
This is a long non-coding RNA of Chinchilla lanigera (long-tailed chinchilla), 369 nucleotides long. RefSeq lists it as uncharacterized. NCBI's taxonomy places the organism in Eukaryota, Metazoa, Chordata, Mammalia, Rodentia, Chinchillidae. The record is from RefSeq and is a predicted model, not a curated record. The transcript has 3 exons.